Molecule: ribosomal RNA, 376 nt
Filed under: uncultured bacterium
Lineage: Bacteria
Description: bacterial SSU rRNA
Rfam family: Bacterial small subunit ribosomal RNA
Source: RNAcentral
AUACGUAGGGGGCAAGCGUUGUCCGGAAUUAUUGGGCGUAAAGCGCGCGCAGGCGGUCAUUUAAGUCUGGUGUUUAAACCUUGGGCUCAACCUAAGGUCGCACUGGAAACUGGGUGACUUGAGUACAGAAGAGGAAAGUGGAAUUCCACGUGUAGCGGUGAAAUGCGUAGAUAUGUGGAGGAACACCAGUGGCGAAGGCGACUUUCUGGGCUGUAACUGACGCUGAGGCGCGAAAGCGUGGGGAGCAAUCAGGAUUAGAUACCCUGGUAGUCCACGCCGUAAACGAUGAGUGCUAGGUGUUAGGGGUUUCGAUACCCUUGGUGCCGAAGUUAACACAGUAAGCACUCCGCCUGGGGAGUACGGUCGCAAGACUGAA